Long non-coding RNA from Tachyglossus aculeatus (Australian echidna), 311 nucleotides. RefSeq lists it as uncharacterized. The transcript has 3 exons. The record is from RefSeq and is a predicted model, not a curated record. Lineage: Eukaryota; Metazoa; Chordata; Mammalia; Monotremata; Tachyglossidae.
GCUCCACAGCCGCUUCUUCCAGCAGACAUACCUGACCCCCUGCCAGGUCACCGAGCUGGCCCGCCAACUGAACCUGACCUACAAGCAGGUGAAAACGUGGUUCCAGAACAAAAGGAUGAAGAUGAAGAGAUACAGCAGGGGCACCGACUUGCCACAAAAUCAAAGCUUCCCCCAGAGGUAUUGCCAGAUGCCCGGCUACCCAGACGGCCACAUCCUGCUCCACCAGGACAAUAGACCCCUCAGCAGCCACAUGCAGCACAACCUUGGCUAUCCUGACCACUUCCCGCCCCUGCAAGGCCCUGAGGAAGACU